CACAAACACUCGUGACUCCCGACACCAGGCCCCGCUCCGGGCUCAGUGUCUACCCAACAGCAUAGCGGAGGCCUGGCUACUCACGGUGCCAGAAUUCACAUAUUUCUUUUUCUUCAUUUUCUUUUUGGGGUUUACCACCUGCAGGAAAAAACAGUUACCAGGCCCAGCCCUUCCCUAACCUCCUAUUGAGCAAAGCAAGAUGACCUCCCACCUGCUGUCCUUCCCUCUUCCCCCUCUCCUGUCCUUCCUCCUGGGGUCUCUUCUGCCUGGAGGAUGCUGAGAGCCACUUAGGACCUCCUGAACUGUUCUUCCCGUGUAAGCUUGGAGACAAGGAAACUCAGGCACAGAGACACCAAGUGCUUUGCCAAAGGGCGCGGAGCUGGUCUGGGUAGUGACAGAAUUAGGAGCCAGGUUCCAGCCUCAGGCCCCUCGAUAAGAAAUGCCAACACAUUCCUUCACAAAUGUUUGCCAGGUGGGGUGGGAUGGGGUGCCAGUUCCUCUCCUCUAGAAUCUUUACUCCAGUGGAGAAAGAAGCUAUGUCCUCGGAGAGGGGACAAGGGCCACCAAGACCAGGGAGUCGGAAACGUGAAGGCGCUGUUCGAAGGAAGGACCAUUCCGGCGGGAGCAUCGCGGGGGGGGGGGGGGGGGGGGCGCUCCCUGAGCGGGAAGCACCGCAGAAAGACGUGGAGGGACAGGAAGGACCUGGGCGUGGAGAGGUGGAGGAGGGCAUCCCGGUCAGGAGAUAUUGGGGGGAAAGGAGCGCAGGACUGGGGAGCCACAGGGUGGAAGAGAUUAAAGGGGGCGGGCUGGAAGAGAACCUCCAAUGCCAACUAAAAUGCCGGACCACCACCCAGCAGCGAGCAGGGACUCUGAUGACCUCUGAGCUGAUGGGGGACGAGGUCACAGCAGGCUCUGGGAUGCCGGGGCCUGGUGGAGAUCUUCCUGCGAAGUGGCCCUGAAGAGACGCCCUGUUUAUCCUGAGGUUUCGUGCACUCCCCACCCGUGUACCAGCCUCGCCCGCCCUCAGGUUCCAUGAGGGGGACCAGCGCCCCCUAGGGGUCAGGCCAGGAACCUCCCAAGCCCUGGCCUGGAGUUCUAAGCCUGCCUAUUCCUCUCCCUCUCUUCACACCCCGAGUCCUCAGGGCCCCCAGCGCCAAUCUGGGGUCUGCCCUCCUGUACCAGGGGUCAGGGAGUGGCUCCCAGGAGCCAGCAGCUGCUCUGGCUCUGGGGAGACGACACUGAGACACUGCCUGCAACCAGAGGCAGCCCCUGCAUGAAUGAAGCCACAAGGCUGAGCCAGCAAGCAGGGCCAGAGAGCAUCGAUGGCCGAGUGGGCUCAAAGCGGGUGGGCAGAGGGAAGGGCUGGGGCCAGACCCUAGGGGCCUCAUGGGGGUGACAUGUGCGCCCACAGAUUGCAGGUCGCUGCGGCAGGGCACAGUUGGAGGAGCUGGGACUUCGCCCCAUAGGUCCGGCCCUGUAGGGUCUCGGCUGGGGUGGGCGUCUUUCUGAAUCUCCUCCCGUCCCCAGCGCCAGUGAACCAGGCUGCGGUGGGGGGUGGGGGGUGGGACUUACAACCAGGC
Molecule: long non-coding RNA, 1580 nt
Organism: Myotis daubentonii (Daubenton's bat)
Lineage: Eukaryota; Metazoa; Chordata; Mammalia; Chiroptera; Vespertilionidae
Source: RefSeq, a predicted model, not a curated record